RNAcentral lists this ribosomal RNA (497 nucleotides) under uncultured bacterium. Its description in RNAcentral is "partial 16S ribosomal RNA". It matches the Rfam family "Bacterial small subunit ribosomal RNA", at positions 28 to 507 of the family's 1533-position model. The record is from RNAcentral.
GAUGAACGCUGGCGGCGUGCCUAAUACAUGCAAGUCGAGCGAAAGGACGCGGAGUUUGCUUUUUUGAUGUUAGCCGCGGACGGGUGAGAAACACGUGUAUCCCCUACCUAUAAGACUGGGAUCACUUCGGGACACCGGCUAUAACACCGGAUAAUAUCUUGCACCGCAUGGUUCAAAAGUGAAAGACGGUCUUGCUGUCACUUAUAGAUGGUUAUGGGCUGGAUUAGCUAGUUGUUAAGUUCACGGCCUACCACGGCAACGAUGCAUAGCCGACCUGAGAGGGUGGUCGGCCACCCUGGAGCGGAGACACGGUCCAUACUCCUACGGGAGGGAGCAGUAGGGAAUCGGACGCAAUAGUCGGAAGCCUGACGGAGCAACGCCGCGUGUGUUAUGGAGGUCUUCGGAUCGUAAAACUCUGUUAUUAGUGAAGAACAUAUGUGUAAGUAGCUGUGCACAGCUUGACGGUACCUAAUCAGAAAGCCACGGCUAACUACGUG